Cottoperca gobio is the source of this 3880-nucleotide long non-coding RNA. The record is from Ensembl. NCBI's taxonomy places the organism in Eukaryota, Metazoa, Chordata, Actinopteri, Perciformes, Bovichtidae.
UUUUCAGUUUAAUGUCACUGGUGUCUGGUACCGUGCGCAGACAUGGAGAGCUUGUACAAGCGGAAAAUGUUCGCUUCGAUGCGGAAAACCAAGGUGGACGCAUCGAAGAAACGGCAAAUCGGCCUGCCCGCUUCGGUCCUGGACGACACUGACGAAGGCUCCUUCUCCUCUUCCUCCUCCGGAUCCCAAUCCGACUUCCAGAGCUCCCCGGAGGAAGACAGCGAGCAGGAAGACCGUGGCCGGAGCGAUUCCGGGGCGACUUCAAGCGAUGACAGCCGCUCCGUGACCCGCAGAAAGCGCUCGUUCCUGGGAGACGACAACAGCUCCUCGUCCUCCAGUCCCGGGGAGGAGGACACAACUAAUGAUGAGGAGUGUGACAGGAGCCAACCGAAGAGAAUGGUGCCGCCUAAGAAGCGGACUAGGCUGCAGCGGCAGGACGAGUCGGACUCGGACCAUGCGGAGGAGAAGCAGAGAGAGGAGGAGGAGAAGGCGAAGAGGAGACAGAGACACAACAAGCUGCUGGCACUGUCACGGAGGAUGAAGGCCCGGGUCCCGAGUCGGAGGAGGAGCCGCCUAAAGCAGGGUGCAGGCGAUGAGGAAGAGUUCAAAGAAGGGGAGGAUGAGGCUGGUGGUGAUGGAGGUGGAAGAGAAAAUGGCAACAAUAAACAGGCUGCAGCAGGUGAUGAAGGAGGCAGAGAGGAGGAAAAUGACACGGAAGAAGAAGAAGAAGAAGAGGAAGAGGAAGAAGAGGAAGAGGAAGACAAGGGGAAGAAGUAGAUCCACUACAUGAUAGAGAACAGAGAAGGGGUUUGAAUGUUAAGAACUAAACCAUCUGAAAAUGACUCAUUACUGUUAGUUUGUACAGUUUUUCUUUCUCCUGCAUCAUUUAAAGUGGAAAACAAAAACACCAAGUACUGGAGUUACAUGUUUUCACUGUCAUAUUUUGUUGCUAUAGAAACAGACAUUGGCAACAUGUAACAAAAUAGAUGUGCAGAUGAUUUGGACAGCCUAAUGGGCCUGUUAUGAAAUGUAUUUUGUGAAGGAAGAAGCUGAGAAAAGUGGCUCAUGAAUAUGUCACUCCUGCUUCAGUAUCAUAUGAUAAUUAUAUUAUUGCUCAUCUACUGACGUAUGUCAUGUCAGUUUUCUUUUUAUAUCCCAAAGCCAGAUGUUGAUGCCAGAUUAACAGACACCCAUGUUCCAUUGACAGGUGUGACUAAACACCGGCAGGUAUAAUGUAAGGCUGCUGAUAAUGUGAACUUUCUACCACAGUUUUCAAAACCACGAGAACAACAACAAAUUGACAAAUGGUUUUGUCACACUACUUCUCCCAAAGACAAUAAUUAACUUUCACGCUCAAACGAAUGACAUACUGUUUAUAACAUGCAUAUGCCAAUAGAUCAGCAGCAGCAUACCAAUAAUCAUCAGUGGCAUACCCCUCAGGAUGGCAGAUGCCAUCAUCCACUUUUUGAUGUCAGGGCUGAUUUGAGAAGACAUUCCUCCACAGAGGCUUUACAUUUAGCGCAUCUUGUGUUACUGCUGGAGGAAGGUACCGCAGCUCAGUACACAUGCUGAGGACACUGGGCUGAAGAAAUGUUCCUUUUAUUUUAUUUAAGUCAAAGAGAGCAUUGCUAUCAGAAACAUCUAAUCAGAAGGCUUCAAGCUCUUGUUUAGUUCUUGACUGCAGUGACAAGCGAUCUGAAUAUGAUUCUGAUUUCACAGGUGUGGAUGGAGAAUGGCUGCUGAGGCUUCUGGGUACUGCAGUCUUCAGAGACAUUCAAUAUACCCAGCAGACAGUUCUCAUAUUCUUCUUCUUUUUUUGUUGUUGUUAAAACGAGAUUAAUUCGCAUUCUGUUCCUGCAAUGCAGACUUUAAAAAAAUAUAUAAUUUGUGAUGAAUCCACUGAACCGCCUUGCCUAUAGCAGAUGAUUUAGACUGAAUAAUUUCAGACACAAAAUUAAACACUGUACAUUUUAUUGUACAGUAGCCUUUUACUUUUUUUUUUACAGUUGGAAGGCAGUGUUUGCAAAAAUGUCUGUAUUUUAUGGCUGUUUUGUCCAUCUUUUCCGUGAGUUAUAAGGACAUUUGAAUAGCUCAGAUUGCAGCUUCCCCAGUGGAAAAAUCUUCUGCUUUUCUCUGUUUUAUAUUAUUGUAAACUGAAUAUGUUUGGGUUUUGGACAAUUGGUUGGACAAAAGAAAAUAUUUGAAGAGCAAAAACAAUUAUUUGAAAGAAUAGUUUACAGAGGAAUUGAUAAUGGGAAUAAUACUUUGUUGCAGUCCUAGGUUAAUUCCCAAACUUUCUGAAAACGCCCAGAGUGUUUGUUUGACUUGAGCUUUGAUAAACCUCGACAGUGCUUUUGGAACAGCAUAUAGUAAAGACAAUUCACCGGUUUUAUCCAGAGUUUUCAGCUGCUUGUCACACUCUUGAAUUGAUUGAGCUGGUUCAGUUGUUUUAGACUUGACUUCUCCGUUAUAGAAGUAAAGUCGAGCACAUUAUAAAACAACCCACGUUGACCAAUGUGCAGUACAGACCAGAGAAGGGAAGCUUACACAACACACUAGUUUGGUCAUUAUUCAAAGAAGGCGUUGGAUGUGAAUGUCGAUGACCUUUGAUUCCUUCCAUGUUGAUGCUGUGAAUGGUUAUGGUCUGUUGUUCACAGACUGGUCAUGACCCGGUCAGACUAUGAGGUUGACUGACAGCUCUGAAUACCAAAGAUGGUGUGUUUAAUGCAAAGAAAAGACAUAAAAAUAGCUGAAAGAUAAUCUAAGCGUUCAGAGGUAUUUCUAAUCAACCCCACAGAUCCCAAAACCUUUAUUCACAUAAUUCAAUAUUUUUCAUUAAAACGUUAUUACAGCUUACCAGAACGAUGGACAUAACUAUCAAAAUAAGAUUCAGACUAAAAUAAACAAAAGGUUAUUUUUUGUAGACGUCAUCAGAGAUUCUGGACAUUUCUCCUGAAUGCAGAAAAUGGAUUGUAGUUUGCUUUUUGCACUUGCUGAGGGCAUUUAAUUCAUCUUAAUGCUAACAGAAGAAGAACUACAGUGUUUCCUGUAUAUAGAAUUAAUUUGGGCGGCCCUCCUAAAAACUUCUUUUGUACUUUUCUAUUUAUUUAUUUAUUUAAAAUCUGUUACAUUGCUGCAUUCAUGUGCUAAUGUAUAAAUUGGACAAAUAAAGUUCAUAGUCAGAAAUGUACUCAUUUUAAAUAUUCCCUUCAUUCCUUGUUGCCUUCCCUCUUUCUUCACUUCCUUCCUUUUUCUAUAAUCUGCAGUCAUAUAGAUUGGAUCAUAAACUCAGCCUGUUUUGCAGAUUUCUGAGUUUUGACAGCCGCAAAUAAACUGCUAGCUGGUGAGCAACUGAGCUGUAAAGAAUGUUUUUAUGCAUCUGUUCAACGUGAAUCUACACAUGGUUUAAGAGCCUUGUGGCCUUUAACUACUGGACUCAGUAUAUUAUAUAGAAUAGUGAUACAAACCGCACACGUGUUGUAUUUGUCAUGGUCUUUUGUUGCUGUUUAAAGUUACUCAGACCAACUUGUCCUGCUGAAAACACCUCUAUUAUUAAUAACGUUUUUUUUUUUCUUUGUUGUUUAUCCUGUACACACGACAUCUAUUGCACGUCUGUCUGUCCUGGGAGAGGGAUCCCUCCUCAGUUGCUCUCCCUGAGGUUUCUUCCAUUUUUUCCCCUUUAAUUUUGGGGUUUCUUUUAGGAAGUCUUUCCUUCUGCGAUGCGAGGGUCUAAGGACAGAGGAUGUCGUAACCUGUACAGUCUGUAAAGCACACUGAGACAAAUGUAUAAUUUGUGAUAUUGGGCUAUACAAAUAAAUUUGAUUUGAUUUGAUUUGACAAACCAAUUUUGUGUUGGAAAUCAUCACAUCUUAACUUUUGU